AAUGAACGUUGGCGGCGUGGAUUAGGCAUGCAAGUCGAGCGAUCGUAGCAAUACGGGAGCGGCAAACGGGGUAGUAAUGCAUCGGAACGUGCCCUUUGGUCGGGGAUAGCGGCGGGAAACUGCCGGUAAUACCCGAUAAAGUCGAGAGACCAAAGGUUUACUGCCGGAGGAGCGGCCGAUGUGAUAUCAGCUAGUUGGUGGGGUAAUGGCCCACCAAGGCAUAGACGUCUAGGGGGCGUGAGAGCGCGAUCCCCACCACUGGAACUGGGAACUGUCCAGACACCUACGGGUGGCUGCAGUCGAGAAUCUUCGUCAAUGGGGGAAACCCUGAACGAGCGACGCCGCGUGCGGGAUGAAGGCCCUUGGGUUGUAAACCGCUGUCAGGGGGGAGCAAGGGAAACUUGAGCGAGCCCCGGAGGAAGCACGGGCUAAGUUCGUG
This 439-nucleotide ribosomal RNA is filed under the name uncultured bacterium. Its description in RNAcentral is "bacterial SSU rRNA". It matches the Rfam family "Bacterial small subunit ribosomal RNA", at positions 29 to 507 of the family's 1533-position model. The record is from RNAcentral.